GGGCGAUUAGCUCAGCUGGGAGAGCGACUGGUUUACACCCAGUAGGUCGGCGGUUCGAUCCCGUCAUCGCCCACCA
RNAcentral lists this transfer RNA (76 nucleotides) under Pseudomonadota bacterium. RNAcentral's name for it is "Proteobacteria bacterium (bioreactor metagenome) tRNA-Val". It matches the Rfam family "tRNA". From Rfam's summary of the family: Transfer RNA (tRNA) molecules are approximately 80 nucleotides in length. Their secondary structure includes four short double-helical elements and three loops (D, anti-codon, and T loops). The record is from RNAcentral. Lineage: Bacteria; Pseudomonadati; Pseudomonadota.